This is an RNA transcript of Rhincodon typus (whale shark), 3823 nucleotides long. RefSeq lists it as uncharacterized. The record is from RefSeq and is a predicted model, not a curated record. The transcript has 15 exons. Lineage: Eukaryota; Metazoa; Chordata; Chondrichthyes; Orectolobiformes; Rhincodontidae.
AGUAGCAAGGACUUUGUCAGUACUGAGAGCCUCAGUUCAUUGUAUUUCUGUGCUGGGAGCUUUACUGCUUGGUCUCUGGAGUUUUUUCAAUACAAUUGUUUUUGCCCAUAAGGGGAAGGGAAUGAGUCUGAAUGUGUCUUUAAUUCUUCCGCAGCACGAUGCCAACUGGUUUGAUACUCAGUGUCUUUGGUCUUCUACUUUCACCUGUUCUCACACAAGGAAACUCAAAUGAUAUUUAUUAUUUGGAUGGACAAGAUGAUAUUCCAUUAAAUGGACCAGACAAUCCUGGACAGGGUCCUGUUGUUUGGGAAUGGAAACCACACUCAGGGCAAGAAAAGCAGCAGCUGGUUACUUUUGAGAGAACGUAUUGGUACGGGUGGGAUUCAAAACGGAGCGAAUACUAUAAAAAAAACAAUUUGUACUCGCAGAUUACUUGGGAUUCCGGUUCCAUUAAUCUGAGACUUAGAAACCCCACAUUUAACCUUGCAGGAUUGUUCACUCUAUUUCAGACACAGCCAAGUAAAUCCAUCCUGAAAAAAUACAACAUUUUUGGGAUCAAAGUUGAAUCAAGUGCCCACUCCCUAGACCCCAGGGUGGGCAGUGAUGUUACUCUCAGCUGUACCAUCUCCAAACUCUCAGAUACAGUCUGUCUCCAAUGGAAACAGAGAGAUUCAUCUCAGCAGAACAGCAGGAAAACCGAUCAGAUCCGAUUCAAUAACACAGUCUACCUGAUGGUCAAACACGUUACUGUGGAGGAUGAGAGGUUGUACACGUGUGAAGUACAGGAAAAUGGAUCGGUUAUUCGCACAGUGAGACAAGAUUUUUAUGUGUCCCAGGAUUUAUAUGGAAAGAAAUACACACUUUAUCGCUCAGGCACAGAUUACAGUGACCUCAAAUUAGUUUGCCUAUUUUAUAAUGGGUGUUAUUAUUAUAAUUUUGAAACCGCCAAAUGGAGAUGGAGGUCAGAUUCUGCACAUCAGGAGAAAAUCCUGGCUUCUGCAUCAACAUAUCAGGCCAUCAAUGUUGACAAGACUUACUUUGGGAAUCGACUGGUCCCCACAAGUUCAACGUUUAACGGCAUGAACUUCGAUGUGAGGAUUGUCCCUGUCCGGUUUGAAGAUGCAGGAGUUUAUAAAUGUUCAUGUGAAUCAUACAAAUUAUUGACCAUCACAUUAAUCACAGUUAAAGUCACAGCAGAACCCUCUGAUGCAGAGACUGAGGGAGACUUCGUUACUCUGACCUGCUCUGUCUCUGAUGUCACUGAAUCAAUCAGACUUGUUUGGAUCAAUAAUGAUGGUAAAAUUGUUGAAGAAAAGGCAUUGAAUAGCAGGAAUAGGGAAGAGAAAUCAUUAAGACUUAUUAUUCAGAAAGCUAACAGAGACAGAGGGAAAUGGACGUGUGUUUUGUUUCGUCAAAACAUGCCUCAGGUUUCAGUCCCAUACUAUUUGGAGCUCAGUGGAAGCUUGAAUGAAGCGUAUGUUCUCCAACAGGAAGGGUACUUUUUGUUGAAAGGACCGGACAAUCCUGGAAAUGGUCCCAUUAUCUGGGAAUGGAGGUCACACUCAGGGCAACAAACUACAAAACAGUUGGGAACUUUUCACAGAGAAGGUCAGCAGUGGGCUGUAAAAUGGAGUGAUGAUUACGAUAACAUGCCAGAUAUUUCUCAGAGAAUACAUGAGCACUACGGUACUCUCAAUCUGUUAAUGAGAAAUCCCACAUUUGAACUUGGGGGACUGUUUACCUGGACUCAAACACAGCCCAAUAAGAAUACCCUGAAACAGACUGAGCUAUUUGUUAUCAAAGUUGAGAUCGAUUCACAAAGGCCUGUAAUGGGCAGCGACAUCACACUCAGUUGCACCAUCUCCAGACUCUCGGAUACUGUCCGUCUUCACUGGAAACACAGAGACCCUUCUCAGCAAAGCAGGAUGAUCAACACUGAUGAGAUCCGACUGAAUAACACGGUCUAUCUGAUUGUUAGACAUGCUGGAGCAGAAAAUCAGAAUUCAUAUACAUGGGAUGUACAGGAAGAUAACUCUAUUACUCUCACUGGAAACAUAAACAUUGAUGUGAAUCAGAAUUUACAUGGUAAAACGUACACCCUUCAUCGGUCAGUCACAGAUCACAGUGAACUCAAACUGAUUUGUGAAGUUGAUUCUGUGGAAAUUGAAACAAAAUGGACCUGGUCUUCACAUUUAACGAAUGAAGAUAAAGAAAUAGCUUCCAUUUACAAAUCGAAGCUUGUCAACAUAAACAGGGCCUACUUUGGGAGUCGAUUGGUCUCUCCAGUGACCAAUUUCACUGACCUGUUUUUCUCUGUACGGAUUGUGCCUGUCCUGUUUGAAGAUGCAGGAGUUUACAGGUGCUCUCAGGGAUCAGAUAAUCAUGUGACCAUUAAUCUGGUCGCAGUAAAAGUCACAGCGGAACCAUCUGAUGCAGUGACUGAGGGAAACACUGUUACCCUGACCUGCUCUGUCUCACAUGUUUCUGAACCAAUCAGAUUUGUUUGGAUGAAUUGUGACGGUAAAAUUGUUGCAGAGAAAACAUUCAAGGAACAGAAGCAGGAAGAGGAUAGUUUACAGCUGGUUAUUCAGGAAUUCGAUAGAGACAGUUGGAACUGGACAUGCAUCUUGUUUCAUCAAAACACCCCCAAAGUUUUAAUACCUUAUCAUCUGAAGUAUAAAGAACGUUAUACUUUUCAACAUACCAAAGUCAUUGUAUUUGGGAGUCUGGCUCUUCUUCUCAUCAUUAUCCUGAUAGUAGUGCUAAGUCUGAGAAAGUGCAUGGGAGCCCGUAAACAAGGCUUGGAAAGUCAAAGAUCAAAGCCCUUGCAACAAGAGGAAAAUGUAGAAGAUAUAUCUCAGCUUUAUUCAAAUAUUAAUGAAGUCCAGCAAAUGCAAGCAGGUACAGAGUUACCAGAGAUUGGAACUAAUAGCUCUGAAUAUGCAACUAUCAGUGGAAUGGCAAAAGCAGACACUUGAACUUCUUCAGACAUAUUCGACAAGUGAGUCUCACUGCCCUCUGCCCGAACGGGACUCCUGGGUCACAUCUCAUACUUGGAGCUCCAUCACAGUUUCCACGGCAAUGUAUUGCGAAUCCCAGUCCAAUGGAAAAGGUCCUGCUCUCAUAAACCCAAGUCUGACUGGGAGAGUCCAGCGGGUGAGACAAAAUCCCUGAUAUUAAUACAAUUCUAGUUAUGUACUGUAUCACCAUUUCAUACUACUUUCAGUAUUUCUCCAGACAUUCCAUUGUGCAGAAAAUAAGUUGAAAACAUUUCCAGGUGCCUCCGUGUAGUAUGCACAAGUGGACGAUUCCCUCCGAUCCUCAAGGUCAGGUCCUUACCCCCAGUCAAUGCAGGAUAUUUUUACAUGAAGCCUGUAUUUCAUGUACUUUUCCACUUUACUGCAAUUGCUUAUUAUCAUGUCCAAUUAAUGCUUAAUAACUAACUCUUUAUCGUCUGUUUGACAAUAUCAUUUUAAGCCCAACACUCCAAACCACUGUACUUUUUAAUUCUCCCCAAUUAUAAAAAUGAUGUGUUGGUUUUUUAAGAUCUUAUUAACCAUAUUACUACUGAAUUGGGCUUCACAGGGCUAAAUGUUACAGUCCUUGCCCAGCAUAUUUGGAAGAAAGUGGGUGUCGCUCAUAAAAUAGUACAGUGGGAGUGGGGCCUGCUUAGUGGUUUGGUGCCCACCUUUGAUAUUUGACAAAAUUAACAGCCUUUCAUUUAAUACCAUCUUCAGCCCUUUAAGGUGUACAACAUGAAUCUAUGACAUAGAAAGAGAAGAUAUUCAUUAUGGAUCUAUCAAUUUUCAGAAAACUGCACCAG